GUGUUACACCGUCCGAAAAUACUUGUCAUUAAAAUGGGCAAAAAGGGAUGCAUCUAGAACUAAAAUACAUCUAGAUACAUUCCCUUUUAUUCAUUUUGAUGACAAGUAUUUUCGGACGGAGGAAGUAAUUA
This is a non-coding RNA of Triticum aestivum (bread wheat), 131 nucleotides long. The record is from Rfam. Lineage: Eukaryota; Viridiplantae; Streptophyta; Magnoliopsida; Poales; Poaceae.